AACCGUUGGGUUAUUUAUCCUUUUUAAUGACUUGUUUCAAUACUUUUUUACAUAUGUACUUUUCUAAUUUCCAAACUCAACAAUCCAUGAAUGUUGAAAUCCUUGCACUAUACAAAAUGCUUGAACUAGCUUAUACAAAGAUUUUGAUUCCUCUUAAUAUUCUAAACAGAUUCUCAAAUUCACAUACACAAACUGCAUCAUAUAUACUCAUAAUUGUUGAAUGGUUGCAGGAAUUUCUUGCUCAGCUUUGGAAAUCAAAAGCACCACUUGGAACGGAAAUGGAGAUUAUUUUUAGGAAUGCUACUCCUUUAUCUGUUUUAUCUCAUUACUAGAAAGACCUCUAUGGAAUUACAUCUUUUUAAUUACUAUUUGUACUGAACUGCUUUACUUCCUUUACUGCUUUCAAUAAUAUGCACUUCUUU
This 422-nucleotide long non-coding RNA is filed under the name Nicotiana benthamiana. RNAcentral describes it as "long non-coding RNA (NBEN_LNC042209)". Lineage: Eukaryota; Viridiplantae; Streptophyta; Magnoliopsida; Solanales; Solanaceae. The record is from RNAcentral.